GACGAUGGGGCUUGCCCCGUACUGUACAGUGGCGAACGGGUGAGUAACACGUGAGUAACCUGCCCCUCACUCUGGGAAACCUCGGGCAAUCGUGGCUAAUACCGGAAUGAGUUUCCACCCGCAUGGUGGUUUCUGGGAAAGUUUUUCGGUGAGGGAUGGACUCGCGGCCUAUCAGUUUGUUGGUGAGGUAAUGGCUCACCAAGGCGAUGACGGGUAGCCGGCUG
This 224-nucleotide ribosomal RNA is filed under the name Brachybacterium nesterenkovii. RNAcentral describes it as "partial 16S ribosomal RNA". It matches the Rfam family "Bacterial small subunit ribosomal RNA", at positions 69 to 293 of the family's 1533-position model. The record is from RNAcentral. Lineage: Bacteria; Bacillati; Actinomycetota; Actinomycetes; Micrococcales; Dermabacteraceae. RNAcentral also lists the same sequence under 1 other name.